GAUGAACGCUGGCGGCGUGCCUAAUACAUGCAAGUCGAGCGAACAGACGAGGAGCUUGCUCCUCUGACGUUAGCGGCGGACGUGUGAGUAACACGUGGAUAACCUACCUAUAAGUCUGGGAUAACUUCGGGAAACGGGAGCUAAUCGCGGAUAAUAUAUUGAACCGCAUGGUUCGAUAGUGAAAGACGGUUUUGCUGUCACUUAUAGCGGCAUCCGAGCCGGAUUAGAUGGUUGGUAAGUUAAUGGCCUACCAAGGCAACGAUGCGUAGCCGACCUGAGAGAGUGAUCGGCGACACUGGAACUGAGACGCGGUCCAGACUCCUACGGGAGGCAGCAGUAGGGAAUCUGCCGCAAUGGGCGAAAGCCUGACGGAGCAACGCCGCGUGAGUGACGAAGGUCUUCGGAUCGUAAAACUCUGUUAUGAGGGAAGAACAAAUGUGUAAGUAACUAUGCACUGCUUGACGGUACUUAAUCAGAAAGCCACGGCUAACUACGUG
Molecule: ribosomal RNA, 497 nt
Filed under: uncultured bacterium
Lineage: Bacteria
Description: partial 16S ribosomal RNA
Rfam family: Bacterial small subunit ribosomal RNA
Source: RNAcentral